This 436-nucleotide ribosomal RNA is filed under the name uncultured bacterium. RNAcentral describes it as "bacterial SSU rRNA". It matches the Rfam family "Bacterial small subunit ribosomal RNA", at positions 28 to 458 of the family's 1533-position model. The record is from RNAcentral.
GAUGAACGCUAGCGGCAGGCUUAAUACAUGCAAGUCGUGGGGCAGCAUGAGUAGCAAUACUUGAUGGCGACCGGCAAACGGGAGAGGAACACGUACACAACCUUCCUUCAAGCGGGGAAUAGCCCAGAGAAAUUUGGAUUAAUACCCCAUAAUAUAUUUGAUAAGGCAUCUUAUUAAUAUUAAAGCUUCGGCACUUGAUGAUGGGUGUGCGGCUGAUUAGAUAGUUGGCGGGGUAACGGCCCACCAAGUCUACGAUCAGUAGCUGAUGUGAGAGCAUGAUCAGCCACACGGGCACUGAGACACGGGCCCGACUCCUACGGGAGGCAGCAGUAAGGAAUAUUGGACAAUGGACGAAAGUACUGAUCCAGCCAUGCCGCGUGAAGGAUUAAGGUCCUCUGGAUUGUAAACUUCUUUUAUAUGGGACGAAAAAGGACGA